Molecule: ribosomal RNA, 305 nt
Filed under: uncultured bacterium
Lineage: Bacteria
Description: bacterial SSU rRNA
Rfam family: Bacterial small subunit ribosomal RNA
Source: RNAcentral
CCUACGGGGCGCAGCAGUGGGGAAUAUUGGACAAUGGGGGGAACCCUGAUCCAGCGACGCCGCGUGAGUGAAGAAGUAUUUCGGUAUGUAAAGCUCUAUCAGCAGGGAAGAAAGAAAUGACGGUACCUGACUAAGAAGCCCCGGCUAGCUACGUGCCAGCAGCCGCGGUAAUACGUAGGGGGCAAGCGUUAUCCGGAUUUACUGGGUGUAAAGGGAGCGUAGACGGUUACGCAAGUCUGGAGUGAAAGGCGGGGGCCCAACCCCCGGACUGCUUUGGAAACUGUGUAGCUAGAGGGCUGGAGAGG